This 512-nucleotide ribosomal RNA is filed under the name Chinoscopus cf. flavus UBC SEM W.Maddison d273. RNAcentral describes it as "partial 16S ribosomal RNA". The stretch from base 124 to 418 matches the Rfam family "Bacterial large subunit ribosomal RNA", at positions 2074 to 2646 of the family's 2925-position model. The record is from RNAcentral. Lineage: Eukaryota; Metazoa; Arthropoda; Arachnida; Araneae; Salticidae.
GUGCUAAGGUAGCAUAAUAAUUUGUCUUUUAAAUGAAGACUAGAACAAAAGAUUAAACAUUUUAAUUUAUUUAUUAAUUCAAUUAUUAAAAUUUUCUUAAAUGUAAUAAGACAUUUAUUUAUAAGAAAGACGACAAGACCCUAUUGAACUUAACUAAAGUUUAACUGGGGCAGUUAACUAAUUAAUAUUUUAGUAAAAAUUAAAAAAAGAUUAUCUAAUUUUAUUAAAUAAACAAGUUACCAUAGGGAUAACAGCGCAAUAAUUUUUAUAAGAUCUUAUAUAAAAAAAAGAUUACGACCUCGAUGUUGAAUUAAUAAUCUAUUAUAUGCAGUAAUAUAAAAAGAAAGUCUGUUCGACUUUUAAAAAAUUACAUGAUUUGAGUUCAAACCGGUGUAAGCCAGGUUGGUUUCUAUCUUCUUAACAAUUAUAUUAGUACGAAAGGACCAUAUAAUAUAAUAUUAUUAUAUUAAUGGCAGAUUAAUGCAUUAGAAUUAGAAUCUAAUUAAAAAACA